This 743-nucleotide unclassified non-coding RNA is filed under the name Daphnia pulex (common water flea). RNAcentral's name for it is "uncharacterized LOC124202817, transcript variant X2". The record is from RNAcentral. Lineage: Eukaryota; Metazoa; Arthropoda; Branchiopoda; Diplostraca; Daphniidae.
GCAGCCAGUCGUGCGUCAAGGACGACACCGUAAUGGUGUGGUACCAAAGCGGAUACGGCCGCUUCGGUUUCACCCCUACUCACGGAGUGAGGCUUCAUGUUGACAUGUUGUCAUCUUUCGUAAAACUGGAGGAGUUAACCAGGAACAGUUUUCUCCAUAACAUUGCUUUUGAUAAGCUCAAAUUGUAGAUUAAAUGGCUCGUUGGCGUUUCAUGCUGCUACUGAUUAUUCUCUUGUUGAACGUCGUUUUGCCAUUUUCUUCAGCAUCACAGAAUGUAACUGAAGCAGAAGCUUAUGGUGCUGGGAAUAUUAGAGAUGAUCAGUUCGGCAUAACGAUUCUUAGAAUCCUUAAAACUGUUGGUGUUGCACUUGGAGUUGCAUUGGUUGUUACUUUUAUAGCACCGAUAGUUAUUUACUUCCUACUCUGCUGUAUCGGAUUUACCUGUUCUGGCGUUCGGGCAAAUUCGUAUGCUGCAGUCCGUCAAUCAGACUACGGUGAUGUGGAAGCUGGAAGUUGUUUUUCUUGUGCACAAAGUAUGGGCGCUUGUGGUAGCAUGGGAAGGAACGUCUUGAUCGGCCUAAUAUUUGGUAUUCUUGCUGGUGCUAUUGCAGGCUAUUAUGCUUGGUUUUAUUUUCUUUGAAUUGGAUAAAAUUAAAGCGUGUGCAUUUUGUGAUAUGAUGGAAUAUGUGGAUUUGUAUUGGAAUAAUAUGAACUUUGUAAUAAAUGUGACAUUUGCUCCUCCA